UGCAAGUCGAGCGGAAACGAUGGUAGCUUGCUACCAGGCGUCGAGCGGCGGACGGGUGAGUAACGCGUGAGAAUCUGCCCAUUUGUGGGGGAUAACUCGGGGAAACUCGAGCUAAUACCGCAUAAUCCCUACGGGGGAAAGCAGGGGACCUUCGGGCCUUGUGCAGAUGGAUGAGCUCGCGUCGGAUUAGCUUGUUGGUGAGGUAAAGGCUCACCAAGGCGACGAUCCGUAGCUGGUCUGAGAGGAUGAUCAGCCACACCGGGACUGAGACACGGCCCGGACUCCCACGGGAGGCAGCAGUGGGGAAUCUUGGACAAUGGGGGCAACCCUGAUCCAGCCAUGCCGCGUGUGUGAAGAAGGCCUUCGGGUUGUAAAGCACUUUCAGUAGGGAGGAAGGCUUACCGCUAAUAACGGUGAGUACUUGACGUUACCUACAGAAGAAGCACCGGCUAAUUUCGUGCCAGCAGCCGCGGUAAUACGAAAGGUGCGAGCGUUAAUCGGAAUUACUGGGCGUAAAGCGCGCGUAGGCGGUUUGUUAAGUCAGAUGUGAAAGCCCCGGGCUCAACCUGGGAAUUGCAUUUGAAACUGGCAGGCUAGAGUGCAGUAGAGGGAGGUGGAAUUUCCGGUGUAGCGGUGAAAUGCGUAGAGAUCGGAAGGAACACCAGUGGCGAAGGCGGCCUCCUGGACUGACACUGACGCUGAGGUGCGAAAGCGUGGGGAGCAAACAGGAUUAGAUACCCUGGUAGUCCACGCCGUAAACGAUGUCUACUAGUCGUUGGGAAUCUUAGUAUUCUUGGUGACGAAGUUAACGCGAUAAGUAGACCGCCUGGGGAGUACGGCCGCAAGGUUAAAACUCAAAUGAAUUGACGGGGGCCCGCACAAGCGGUGGAGCAUGUGGUUUAAUUCGAUGCAACGCGAAGAACCUUACCAGGCCUUGACAUCCUUGGAACUUUCUAGAGAUAGAUUGUUGCCUUCGGGAGCCAAGUGACAGUGCUGCAUGGCUGUCGUCAGCUCGUGUCGUGAGAAUGUUGGGUUAAGUCCCGUACGAGCGCAACCCUGUCCUAGUUGCAGCACUUCGGUGACUCUAGGAGACUGCGGUGACAAUCGAGAGGUGGGACGACGUCAGUCAUCAUGCCUACGGCCUGGCUACACUCUGCUACAAUGGCAGUACAAAGGCAGCGAGUCUCGCGAGUCUACU
This 1198-nucleotide ribosomal RNA is filed under the name uncultured Alcanivorax sp. RNAcentral describes it as "bacterial SSU rRNA". It matches the Rfam family "Bacterial small subunit ribosomal RNA", at positions 56 to 1267 of the family's 1533-position model. The record is from RNAcentral. Lineage: Bacteria; Pseudomonadati; Pseudomonadota; Gammaproteobacteria; Oceanospirillales; Alcanivoracaceae.